GUGCUCACUUCAGCAGCACAUAUACUAAAAAUUGGAAAAACAGGGAGAAGAUCAGCACGGCCGCUGUGCAGACAUGAAAAUUCAUGAAGCAUUUCUUACUUUU
Small nuclear RNA from Callithrix jacchus (white-tufted-ear marmoset), 103 nucleotides. The record is from Ensembl. Lineage: Eukaryota; Metazoa; Chordata; Mammalia; Primates; Cebidae.